This 69-nucleotide antisense RNA is filed under the name Actinophytocola oryzae. Its description in RNAcentral is "ASpks TB sRNA". It matches the Rfam family "ASpks TB sRNA". Lineage: Bacteria; Bacillati; Actinomycetota; Actinomycetes; Pseudonocardiales; Pseudonocardiaceae. The record is from Rfam by way of RNAcentral.
CUUCACCGAGCCCAGCCGCAGCGGCUCGGUCCGGUCCUGCCCGUAGGCGGCCAGCAGGGCCUGCGCCUC